GCCGUCGGCAACCGCUUCGUCAGCUGAUUGGAGAAAGUGGAUGUCCAUCAGUGUCACGACGUUCCGUGGUAAGCAGAGGCGAAACCAAAAAGACGACUUCCCUCCGAAGGGUAGACGGGCCUGCUGGGAUACUGUGGGAGGACUGGGUCAGGCGCUGGGCGGGGUUUUCGCAGCUCCGCGGAACGCCGGGAAGGGGUCACGUCCAGACGAGGGUUCCGGUUCCGGUGCAGACGGCGGCAGCGGCGUUGCCACGGCAGCGCGGUUGGCCGGUACCUGGGUCGUGAGCUCGCGUUGUUGGAGGGGCUGGAGUAGGCCUCGGUCCUGCAUUGUCCGCUUAGAGUCAUUGAUUCCAGGUAAAUCAGAGGAACAGACAUCAUGAACAGAAAUAAUACGGAAAGUGAUGUGAUGCGGAAGUUUAACUGUUGUUCCAGAAGUCCAGCAUCUGUGGCUCAUAACUUUAGGAACUGUAUCAUUUUCAAGGUCACCUAACAUAUACUCAUAUUGGGUUGGCCAGAAAGUUCAUUUGGUUUUCCUGUAAGCUGAGAAAACCGACAUGAACUUUUUGGCUAACCCAGUGCUUAUAGUAAGUUUAUUUUAUUUUAUUUUUUCAGUAAAUAUUGACAGUUUGUUCCAGAAAAUGUAAAUUGUUCAUUGCCUCCUAUAAGCUGCCUGAUUCUCUGCUUGUGUUCACUGGAAUAGGGAGAAGAAUUUGCAAACCGAUUAUGUGAGGGUCCAAAAUGUGAAACUGGGUGGUGGGGAGUAGCCUGUUGUUUGCCUGGUCUGUAAUAUUGGCUUUGCCUGUACAAUUGACAGACAUUUUACUAAGUUGAGAAUAUAGCUGUCAUUAAGAAUAAUCGUUGAGCAGGAAGAAUAUGAACCCUAUGUUUUGCAAACUUACGAUAGAGUUGCUAGUUACAGUCAAUACGGUGAGACUGUCGGAAAUGCAAGGACAUGGAAAAGCAAGCGGGGGUUCUUUCAAAGAGCUAAGUGGGAUGGCUUUGAUAAGAUGAUGAAGGGAAAGAGAUCAUGUAUCUAGACCAAAGAAAUUGAAGCAAUACACCUAAAUGUAAGUUUUUAAUAAAGUAACCUGAAGUAUAAAA
Capra hircus (goat) is the source of this 1100-nucleotide long non-coding RNA. RefSeq lists it as uncharacterized. NCBI's taxonomy places the organism in Eukaryota, Metazoa, Chordata, Mammalia, Artiodactyla, Bovidae. The transcript is spliced from 2 exons. The record is from RefSeq and is a predicted model, not a curated record.